AAGUCGUAACAAGGUUUCCGUAGGUGAACCUGCGGAAGGAUCAUUACAGUGUUUCCUGCCCUCACGGGUAGAAACCCCCACCCUUGUAUAUUAUAUUCUGUUGCUUCGGCAGGCCAGUCUUCGGACUGUGGGCUUCGGUCUACCGUGCCUGUCAAAGGACCUUAAACUCUGUAUUAUAGUGUCGUCUGAGUACUAUAUAAUAGUUAAAACUUUCAACAACGGAUCUCUUGGUUCUG
This 236-nucleotide unclassified non-coding RNA is filed under the name fungal sp. Its description in RNAcentral is "partial internal transcribed spacer region". The stretch from base 1 to 46 matches the Rfam family "Eukaryotic small subunit ribosomal RNA", at positions 1786 to 1831 of the family's 1831-position model. Lineage: Eukaryota; Fungi. The record is from RNAcentral.